UACGUAGGGUGCGAGCGUUAAUCGGAAUUACUGGGCGUAAAGCGUGCGCAGGCGGUUCGCCAAGUCAGGUGUGAAAUCCCCGGGCUCAACCUGGGAACUGCAUUUGUGACUGCACAGCUUGAGUGCGGCAGAGGGGGAUGGAAUUCCGCGUGUAGCAGUGAAAUGCGUAGAUAUGCGGAGGAACACCGAUGGCGAAGGCAAUCCCCUGGGCCUGCACUGACGCUCAUGCACGAAAGCGUGGGGAGCAAACAGG
This 253-nucleotide ribosomal RNA is filed under the name uncultured bacterium. RNAcentral's name for it is "partial 16S ribosomal RNA". It matches the Rfam family "Bacterial small subunit ribosomal RNA", at positions 524 to 776 of the family's 1533-position model. The record is from RNAcentral.